UGGCGCAGCAACUUGCACAUUUAGUAAUAUUUGUGUGAAGUUAGAAGAAAGAUAUCAAGAAAUUGACGGAGCAGUAGGCCUAUUCUGUAAGUCGUUAAAAAGAUAACGAAAACCGACGUUAAGUUACCGUUAUCGAAAAUCGUCGCUUACGCUACCGACAGUCUGGGGAAGUUGGUAUUCCGUAACUACAGUUAGCGACUGUACAUCGUUACAAACUGCAUCAAACGAUGUCAGUAACAACAUCGAUGCGUUCAUAAAAGCACUAUGGAAGUUUUGUUUUUGGACCAAUGAGAAAUAGCUCAUUCCAUUGUGCUUGAAAAUUUUAACCUCAAUAUUUGUAAUGUUUGUACGUUACAAAGUUCAAGUUCGGGAUCUAUCGAUGGCAGACGUGUUUUAUUCAAAUCUUCAUUGUUUUUGGAAACGACAUAUUGCUUUCAAUACGUCCUUUUGCCAUAACUCUGCAUUUUAUCACUCAACUGGUUGCAGGAGAGUUUUUAUACAACUCUUCUUACCUAAAAUUGAGAAGAAGAAGAAGAAGAAGAACGUAUAUUACAAGUGAACCGAGUCAUACCGAUGAUAUGUGCAAAAUGUAAGCAUGCCAUAGUGGACUAUACAGUUUUAUUUUGCAGUAAAUAAACAAUUUAUACACCCUCUAAAUCUCAAACAGUAAGUCAUUAGUUUCAGUGGUAUUUUGCCGAUUCAGAUUUAUAUUCAAUGUCUUAAACCCGGUUAACUUUAUUUAGAAGUAAAGUGUCAAUCUUAGUUGAUUAAUUCGUAUCAAUGAUAAAUAUGAUUGAUCAAUUACAAUGGAAUAAUCUGUAAAUAAAAGGCCAAAGUAGAAUGACUGAAACUUGUUAGUUUAAGACAAUGUCUUAUGUUCAAAGUUUUUGUCUUGAGAUAACAUACAAUAAAUAGUUAUGUGUUACCUCAAGAUAAAAACUUUAAGAUAAGAUAUUGUCUUAAAUUCAUAAGUUUCGACCAUUUUGUUUUAGUUCAAAAUUAACCACAGGUGAAUAAAUUGGCCAUUAGAGAGCAUUUGAAUAUUUGUAAAGUCAUAGCUGAAUAAAUAACACUAUGUGUAUAUCUUAAGAUUGUAUAUCUUAAGAUUGUAUAUAUUUGUGAUAGGUCAUCAGAACCACCAGUAAAAAAAAAGAGACAAGGACGAGCAACAAAGGAGCAAUUAGAGGCAAUGGUGGGCUAUUUUGUACUUCAUCCCUAUGUCGCAACUGGCAAAUUCACUUCUUUGCAAGGGCGAGCCAACCUUGAAGGAAGUUGGGAGGAAUUAGUCAACCAACUAAAUGCAAUGUCGAAAGGUGGAAAAGAGAAAGACGUCGCUUCCUGGAAAACAACAUGGAGAGAUAAUAAAACAAAAGUAUCAGAGAAGGCCUCAAAACUACGUGCUGCUCGUGCAAUAGACCUGUUGAAAACAAUUUAACAGAAUUAGACAAAAAAAAUAUUUGGCAUAAUUGGCUACGCUUUUGCUGAAGGAGUGAAUAAUUCUGUCGACAGCUUCCCUGAAGAGCAGGGAUCAAUACGGAUAGGCUUGGCGUUCAAUUCGCGGAAGCCAGAGAAAUUUUUCAGGAGAUCGAGCAGCAGAACGCUCAAACGAUGGAUAUUGUAGCUCGAGGCAUGCAGCUGCAGGCAGAAACAGCAAGUAAACUUGCAGAUGUUGCUUUAAUGAUGGCAGAGAACGAUAAAAAGAGGAACGAGAUCUUGGGGAAGAUGAUCGAAAAUGACCGCGUACGUAAUGUGCUGUUGGAGACCCUAACCAAAA
RNA transcript from Odontomachus brunneus, 1774 nucleotides. RefSeq lists it as uncharacterized. The transcript is spliced from 4 exons. The record is from RefSeq and is a predicted model, not a curated record. NCBI's taxonomy places the organism in Eukaryota, Metazoa, Arthropoda, Insecta, Hymenoptera, Formicidae.